This 1214-nucleotide long non-coding RNA is filed under the name Sus scrofa (pig). Its description in RNAcentral is "lncRNA (ENSSSCG00060048251.1)". Lineage: Eukaryota; Metazoa; Chordata; Mammalia; Artiodactyla; Suidae. The record is from RNAcentral.
AAAAAAAAAAAAAAAAAAAGAAGCAUUUUGGUAAUAGGAUAAUAGUAGUAAAUUAAUGUGAGGAUGGGCAGAAUUUAAUACAUGAUGAAAAAAUAUAAAUGGAUAAGAGGACCUGAAAGCCUUGGGAGAACACAAUUUUAAUUUCCCGUGAAUAUAAGGAGUACUCCAAUCUGAAACUGAUGGCUAAAGACAGUAUCUCCUUUUUAAGAGGAAUUUUGAAUUCAUAAGCUGGUAUGGAAAUGGACAUGUGUAUAAACUUGCGAUGUUUCCUGUUGAAAUCCCGAGUACCUGGUGAAGAGCAGAAAUGCUCAUGUUCUCCUUCUGCUUCUCUCCAUGUGGGUCUGGGAGGGUAAACACAGGUCGAGACUGAGCAGCCUGAGCGUAGCAAGGACCUACACGGUUUUCCUGAGGCCCAGCCCUGGUGCUGCCACUGACCGUCCCGCACUUGGCUGGCUCCCUUGCGCGUGCAAGGGCAGGUGCAGCGGGCUGAGGGCCACUUCGUGCAGCUCACGUGGGUGAUGCCCAAGCACCCUGCAACUCCUGAUUAGUUAACCUCGAGACACAGCAUAAUUUAUACCACCGGCUUCUGGAACAAUUGGAACUUUCUUCAUCUCUUCUGUGACAUUUUCAAGAUGCCAAAGACUCAUAUUGUAGACCUCACCCCAAAGGGUUAAAUUCCAAGACCUAAGUUCACAAUAGAAAUAUGCUAAAGAAUGACACUGCAGCAGCUGCUGGUGAACUUGGUACGGCCUCAGCCAAACUCAGGAAGCAUCCAGAGUCCCUUCAUCAUCGAGACAGUGAUCACAGAACAAGACAUGGCAGGCAGGCAGGUUUUAUAGACAUGGACAAGAAGUCUGCACACAGAAGUUCUGAGGAUGCCAGGACCGGCAAAAGUGGAGGUAAACACAAACAAAAGAAAAGAGAAAAGCAAAACCAAGAACACCACCGAUCCCGACAUAGGUCAACAUCUCAUUCUUCAGAUGACUGUGUGUUUCCUUCUUCUGUAUCAUCUUCAGGAAGCCAAACGGAUUCAAGUCUAGAAGGUGCUGCCAAGGGAAGAAUUAAGAGAAAGAGAGGAAAGAAAAGGAGUAAACGGAGAAAAGAAAGAAAGGAGGCAUCUUCCAAGAUGUCCAUCAUUCUGUCUGGUCCUCCGUCUUUGAUCCGCACCAUUUGCCACUGAGACAUCAUCCUUCCUGUCUGCCUAGUCCUUUCAG